This 457-nucleotide ribosomal RNA is filed under the name Klebsiella pneumoniae. RNAcentral describes it as "bacterial SSU rRNA". It matches the Rfam family "Bacterial small subunit ribosomal RNA", at positions 1 to 452 of the family's 1533-position model. RNAcentral also lists the same sequence under 1 other name. The record is from RNAcentral. Lineage: Bacteria; Pseudomonadati; Pseudomonadota; Gammaproteobacteria; Enterobacterales; Enterobacteriaceae.
ACUUAAAUUGAAGAGUUUGAUCAUGGCUCAGAUUGAACGCUGGCGGCAGGCCUAACACAUGCAAGUCGAGCGGUAGCACAGAGAGCUUGCUCUCGGGUGACGAGCGGCGGACGGGUGAGUAAUGUCUGGGAAACUGCCUGAUGGAGGGGGAUAACUACUGGAAACGGUAGCUAAUACCGCAUAACGUCGCAAGACCAAAGUGGGGGACCUUCGGGCCUCAUGCCAUCAGAUGUGCCCAGAUGGGAUUAGCUAGUAGGUGGGGUAACGGCUCACCUAGGCGACGAUCCCUAGCUGGUCUGAGAGGAUGACCAGCCACACUGGAACUGAGACACGGUCCAGACUCCUACGGGAGGCAGCAGUGGGGAAUAUUGCACAAUGGGCGCAAGCCUGAUGCAGCCAUGCCGCGUGUGUGAAGAAGGCCUUCGGGUUGUAAAGCACUUUCAGCGGGGAGGAAGGC